GGAGGGGUGUCCGAGCGGUUGAAGGAGGCGGUCUUGAAAACCGUUGGUCCUUGGCGGGUCCCGUGGGUUCGAAUCCCACCCCCUCCGCCA
Molecule: transfer RNA, 90 nt
Filed under: Pelotomaculum sp. PtaB.Bin104
Lineage: Bacteria; Bacillati; Bacillota; Clostridia; Eubacteriales; Desulfotomaculaceae
Description: tRNA-Ser
Rfam family: tRNA
About the family: Transfer RNA (tRNA) molecules are approximately 80 nucleotides in length. Their secondary structure includes four short double-helical elements and three loops (D, anti-codon, and T loops).
Source: RNAcentral